Long non-coding RNA from Engraulis encrasicolus (European anchovy), 1211 nucleotides. RefSeq lists it as uncharacterized. The transcript is spliced from 3 exons. The record is from RefSeq and is a predicted model, not a curated record. NCBI's taxonomy places the organism in Eukaryota, Metazoa, Chordata, Actinopteri, Clupeiformes, Engraulidae.
AAUUCACAUGUGGACUAACUUAAUGGUUAAAACGUUUUGUGUUGGGAAAAUUAAAGGUUUGAAAUGUGAUAUUGGAUGGUUUGCUAACAUUGGUUGCUAAUAGGGUAACUGAUAAUUAGCUGGUGGUGUGGAAUAAAUCAGGUGGCACUUUACUGAUGUGAAGUUUGAAAGCUAUUUUCUGAACAUGAAAGAAAGAAAUUCGGACAGGAUUUAUGCAAGGAUACUGAAACACCACGGAUGGAUUGACGUAGAGCUAGUACCGGUAUAUAGUGGGGCAAAAGUGGAUGCUGCUAGUAACAGGUAUCGGAGGGGGCAAGACAAGGGCUAGCUAGCAUAGAGGCUAUUUUAAACUUCAACGCGUCAAACAUAAGCAGUUCUGCGUCAAAUCAUGUAAAUCAGACCGUCCGCCACCCUCGUACAUGAUAAAGAAUAGCACGAGUAAGCAAGCAGUAUCCCACUGCUGUGUGUUGGCUCGAUUAAAGAUGAUACAAACGAAUUUCCGCAUCACAUUAUGUUGGCUUGGUUGUAGUUGUUGUGGCCAGUCAAUAGACAAACUUUGAACCGUAGUUCUAUGUAAGUGUCGUGGUUUUCACCGUUUCAGUAUGUAGUUGAAUAUGGUAGAUCUGGGCAACUGGUCAACACUGUCGUGUUUUGUCUCGGUAGACGGUGUGUUAGGAAAUUACCGGCAGUUGUUUCAGAUGGAGGGUGCGACGUGCGAGAUGCACGCUGUUCGAUGGAUAAAACUGCCACGCACGACAUUUUAUAGGCAAUGGUAAUUGGUGAUACCAUGACGUUUGAAAAGAAGAUUCAAAGUUUGAGUUUUAGGUGGCAGAGUAGAACAGCAGCGUGUGAAGUGUGGCGACUACCAAGAUAUCAAUACCAGUUAUGGCUACGGGAUUUUUAAAGUACCUUCAAUGCACUGGGAACUAACGUGCUCUCCCCCUCUCUCUUCUCUCUUAAUCAGGGCCCAGGUCUUGUGGUCACAUCUGUCCAAGCUCCUACUCUGAUUGAUUGAACAGUUGGAUGAUCAGACUGAUGAUGAAAAGUGCUACACAGUUCUCACACAUCCUCUGCCUCCGAAGCCGCUGCAGUGUAAAAUCUGAGAUGUCUUUUCAGGUUUAUUUUGUGCAGAUAUCUGACAGCGAUGGUGAGGGAAGCAGUGUACCGAACUCUCAGAUGACUCGGACCAGGUGACCAAACCCAUGCAAAAC